UAGUAUAGGCAAUUAUACCGUGAAACUGCGAAUGGCUCAUUAAAUCAGUUAUCGUUUAUUUGAUAAUACCUUACUACUUGGAUAACCGUGGUAAUUCUAGAGCUAAUACAUGCUGAAAAUCCCGACUUCGGAAGGGAUGUGUUUAUUAGAUAAAAAACCAAUGCCCUUCGGGGCUUUUUGGUGAUUCAUGAUAACUUUACGGAUCGCAUAGCCUUGCGCUGGCGACGGUUCAUUCAAAUUUCUGCCCUAUCAACUUUCGAUGGUAAGGUAUUGGCUUACCAUGGUUUCAACGGGUAACGGGGAAUUAGGGUUCGAUUCCGGAGAGGGAGCCUGAGAAACGGCUACCACAUCCAAGGAAGGCAGCAGGCGCGCAAAUUACCCAAUCCCGACACGGGGAGGUAGUGACAAUAAAUACUGAUACAGGGCUCUUUUGGGUCUUGUAAUUGGAAUGAGUACAAUUUAAACCUCUUAACGAGGAACAAUUGGAGGGCAAGUCUGGUGCCAGCAGCCGCGGUAAUUCCAGCUCCAAUAGCGUAUAUUAAAGUUGUUGCAGUUAAAAAGCUCGUAGUUGAAACUUGGGCCUGGCUGGCGGGUCCGCCUCACCGCGUGCACUCGUCCGGCCGGGCCUUCCUUCUGAAGAACCUCAUGCCCUUCACUGGGCGUGUUGGGGAAUCAGGACUUUUACUUUGAAAAAAUUAGAGUGUUCAAAGCAGGCCUUUGCUCGAAUACGUUAGCAUGGAAUAAUAAAAUAGGGCGUGCGUUUCUAUUUUGUUGGUUUCUAGAGACGCCGCAAUGAUUAACAGGAACAGUCGGGGGCAUCAGUAUUCAGUUGUCAGAGGGUGAAAUUCUUGGAUUUACUGA
Molecule: ribosomal RNA, 861 nt
Filed under: Curvularia eragrostidis
Lineage: Eukaryota; Fungi; Ascomycota; Dothideomycetes; Pleosporales; Pleosporaceae
Description: SSU rRNA
Rfam family: Eukaryotic small subunit ribosomal RNA
Source: RNAcentral